Molecule: long non-coding RNA, 1658 nt
Filed under: Acanthaster planci (crown-of-thorns starfish)
Lineage: Eukaryota; Metazoa; Echinodermata; Asteroidea; Valvatida; Acanthasteridae
Description: uncharacterized LOC110988705
Source: RNAcentral
CAUGGUUAAAAGGUCACGAAGUUUCUUUGGUGGAAUUCUGGGUAUUUUUGCCGUAGUCGCGCCAGAUCCUUUGCACAAAUCGUCAGGCCAAAAGAUCAAGUCCACCCCUCUAUCAUUAGCAAGAUGGUUGGGGGCAUCCCCCAGGAAUCUGCCCAUCAUUGCUGGCCAACAGAAUCAACCAUCAGCAAGAAACCAACAGCAAUGCCCUGUAUCAUCAUCACAUCAGACACCAUCAACGCCGCCUCAGCAAACAACUCUCAAUACAGUGUCCAGCGCUGCUGCCGAUAGUUCAAGCAGGACUCCAGCCUCCCUAUAUAAUGUCCCUACAUCUCAGCAUUGCAGACUGGAGGUGUUCUCUUGCUUUAUAAAGGCAGGGUUCAAAGAAUAGAGCCCUGUGCCAUACAACUGCCUACCAGUGGCAAGGUCAUCCAAGGGAGUGGUGCCUUUGGAACUGUCUGGCAAGGAACCUUCCAUGGAACAAGAGUGGCCAUCCAAUUCAUCAGGUCAAAGACAGACUUCCAGUCCUGAGGGAGGCGAGAGCUAUAGGCCUUUUUUCAGGGCAUCUGUCUUUUCCAUGUUUCUUUGGCCUGGUAGUGGCUGGCCACCACCAAGGAUGGACUCGUGAUGGAUCACCAGAAACUCCAUUAUGGGCCAGUUGCUGACCUUGAGGGAUGCCCUGGAAGGGCCCAGCUGACUACAUCUUGCCCCGUCGUCCAGGUGCUGCAUUGUGCUGUAUGUGUUGGACGGUCUGCGAUUCAUGCAAGACAGGGGCCUCCUUCAUAACGACCUCAAAGCUGAUAUGAUUUUGGUCCGUGAUGUUGGGGGCUCCUGGUGUGUGUGUAUUAUUGACGUGGGGUUGUGUACCCUGGCGAGCCAUCCUCGGGUACACUACCUCACCUCAGCACAGAAGGCGCGAUGGCGGCGCUAUCACGUGCACAUCGCCCUAGAGCUGGUGGAGGAUGCAGCACCACAGACCAAGCUCAGUGAUGUUUUCCAGAUGGGUCUGGUGCUGUAUUUUGUGGGUCUCUGGGGCGGUGUACCAGGCAUGAUACCGCUCGCCUAUUGGUGUCUGAGGCAAGACCACCUGAUGCGGUCAUCAAUGGCCAUACUCCCGCUCAUGUAGGCUGGGGUUGCAUAGGUCAAUUAACUUGCUAUUUUAGUUGAACUGUUUGUGGCUGCUAAUGCUAAAAUGUGAGAAAUGUACAAAUUAUGAGGCAUCACAGAGGAAGAGCUUAAACUCUACUCUAACAAGAACUUGGAAAUUUCUUGAAGUUUGUAAAGAAACAACAUCAGUAGGACUAUGACUGAUUCUUUUUUGGGGCAUGUGAUAAAAAAAAUGAUGUUGUCAUCUUGUAAAAAUUUCUUGUUCCUGGUAUUUUGCUUAUAAUAUUAGAGAUAGCAUUUGACUUGUACCAUUUCCGAAAGCGAUCCAUGUCUAGCUAGAAAUUCCAUGGCAGAAAAAAAAACAAAAAAACCGGGCAUUAUAAUUUUAAGUUAAACGUGAAUUGCUUUCUAACUGUUCUACUCUUUCUAUGAAACGAAACGAAAAAUCGCUUGAUUUCCGGUAUGCAGUACUCUUGAGGAUUGGAGGGGUGGGGAAAUUUUCCAUUCAUUUUGGUGCUUGUGGUUCGGAGAUGAGGCUACGUUGUUUGGAAAGG